RNAcentral lists this ribosomal RNA (404 nucleotides) under Fusobacteriota bacterium. Its description in RNAcentral is "Fusobacteria bacterium partial 16S ribosomal RNA". It matches the Rfam family "Bacterial small subunit ribosomal RNA", at positions 355 to 776 of the family's 1533-position model. Lineage: Bacteria; Fusobacteriati; Fusobacteriota. The record is from RNAcentral.
UGGGGAAUAUUGCACAAUGGAGGGGACUCUGAUGCAGCGACGCCGCGUGAGUGAUGAAGGAAUUCGUUUCGUAAAACUCUGUUCUAUGGGAAGAAAAGGACUGUACCAUAGGAGAAAGCUCCGGCUAAAUACGUGCCAGCAGCCGCGGUAAUACGUAUGGAGCGAGCGUUGUCCGGAAUUAUUGGGCGUAAAGGGUGCGCAGGCGGCUUUACAAGUUGGAUGUGAAAUAUUGUGGCUCAACCACAAACGUGCAUCCAAAACUGCAAAGCUUGAGUUAAGGAGAGGUAAGUGGAAUUCCUGGUGUAGCGGUGGAAUGCGUAGAUAUCAGGAGGAAUACCGGUGGCGAAGGCGACUUACUGGACUUAAACUGACGCUCAGGCACGAAAGCGUGGGGAGCAAACAGG